UUUGUUUUGGGGGCAGUGCUUACCUGAGAUAAGGGCUUAAAAACAGCAAUGUAACAUUGUAUUGCUUAGUUGUGUGAAGCAGAAGAUAGGCUCAACGAGGACAGAGGUGAGGUUUGGAGGACAUGAUGCAGGGUCUCUUGACUCUGUGGCUGUGUGCUGCUCUGCCAGGACUCCUAUGCGCAUCGCCUCUGCUAGUAGAAGGGGACAAUGAUGCCUCCAAGAUCUGCAAGCCUGCACCGCACUGGGAGAUCAAGGGCCAUGGGGCCCCCAUGAAGGAGCUGCUGGGAAAUGUAGUUGUUCUGGCUCUGCUGAAAGCAAGCUGACACUUCUGCCGCACACAGGCCUCCAAACUAGGAAGCCUGCGUGACAAGCUGCUCCGCAGCAACCUGACAGACGUGUCGUUCCUCAUCGUGAACGAGAGGGAGGCCCAGUCCAGAGCCAUGUACUGGGAGCUGAAGAGGAGGGCCCCCCCGGGCAUCCCUGUCUACCAACAGGCCCCGCUACAGGACGACGUCUGGGAGGCCUUGGAUGGAGACAAGGACGACUUCCUGGUAUAUGACAGAUGUGGGAGACUGACGUUCCACAUAGUCCUACCCUACAGCUUCCUCCACUACCCCUACAUAGAGGCAGCGGUCAGAGCCACCUACCACAAGGACAUCUGUGGCAACUGCACCGUGGACUCCAACACAACCUCCUCAGCUGGGUGGAACAGCACUCAGAGAAACGAGACACUGAGCAGUUCAGAGAUGCGUGUUAACGAGACAGACACUACAGUGAGGUCUAUUGAUGUCGAUACCGUGAGCCACCCAGUUCCAAGUGAUGGACCCCAGAUGUCGUCUGAGGGGGUGGUAACAUGUCACACAUACAUCAAACAGGAUCAUCAGUACCCCCACCACCACCAGCAGCAGCAGCAUCAGCACCACCACAAUCAUGGGCCAGAUGCAGAUAAAAAAGACUCCGAUUAACAUUGUCUGCAUCGUUUCUUAGACGAGUAAUUGUUAAUUCGCAUGGUGGUGGUGGUAGCUUGUGUUAGUGACUUGACAGUCCGAUAAAUAGUUUUGUAUGAAUUAAAUUUGGUUUUGUCUGCGCCUGUCAAUUGUGUCUGAUAAGGCAAACCUGUACAGUAAACUGGAAUUAUUUAGGCCCUUGAAAUACAGUAUGUCUUCCCUACAUGUAGUCUGGUGACAGGUCCUGCUCUCCUCUGCAGUUUAUGAAGUCUGCAGGUCAAACCCUACGGAGGUGUCUGUAGAUAGAUGCUGUGCUAAGGAAAGUUGGAUUGACAAUCACCGAACCCAUGCAGGGCAGUGUGCUGGACUUCAGGGUAUACUUGUCAACGUCUUGACUAUAUUUCCUAUUCAUUUUGCAACUUUCAUUUCAUGUAUGUUUUCAUGGAAAACAAGGACAUUUCUAAGGGACCCCAAACUUUUGAACGGUAGUGUAUAUAUAUAUACAUGAUAUAUACGUUCCGGACUCCGACAUAAGAUUUAUGUUCCAGGUUUCUGGUUGUUCACAAUUAAAAGUAUGAUUAUGUUGUUGUA
RNA transcript from Oncorhynchus keta (chum salmon), 1538 nucleotides. It is a transcript of the gene named selenoprotein Pb-like, with no coding region annotated. NCBI's taxonomy places the organism in Eukaryota, Metazoa, Chordata, Actinopteri, Salmoniformes, Salmonidae. The record is from RefSeq and is a predicted model, not a curated record. The transcript is spliced from 5 exons.